Molecule: non-coding RNA, 28 nt
Filed under: Cricetulus griseus (Chinese hamster)
Lineage: Eukaryota; Metazoa; Chordata; Mammalia; Rodentia; Cricetidae
Also listed under: 1 other name
Source: RNAcentral
AUGGGCUGGAGAGAUGGCUCAGUGGUUA